CAAGAGCGUAUAUUAAAGUUGCUGCGGUUAAAAAGCUCGUAGUUGGAUUUCAGUCUAGGAAGGUUAACUCGCCGAAAGGUUGUACGUUGAUUUUCCUCAGACUUCGUCAGAAGCUCGUGCUGCACCUAACUGUGUGGUACGAUGUUCUGACCUUUUACCUUGAGGAAAGUAGAGUGUUUCAGGCAGGCUACCCAGCUUGAAUACAUUAGCAUGGAAUAAUGAAAUGGAUCUCGGUUCGAUUUCGUUGGUUCUAGAGCUGAGGUGAUGAUCAAUAGGAACAGGCGAAGGUAUUCGUACUUGAGAGUGAGGAGUGAAAUCCGAUGAUCUCUUAAAGACGAUCCGAGGCGAAAGCAUUUGUCAAGGAUGUUUUCAUUGA
This 376-nucleotide ribosomal RNA is filed under the name uncultured eukaryote. RNAcentral's name for it is "partial 18S ribosomal RNA". It matches the Rfam family "Eukaryotic small subunit ribosomal RNA", at positions 592 to 976 of the family's 1831-position model. The record is from RNAcentral.